RNAcentral lists this ribosomal RNA (471 nucleotides) under Triticum aestivum (bread wheat). RNAcentral's name for it is "partial small subunit ribosomal RNA". The record is from RNAcentral. Lineage: Eukaryota; Viridiplantae; Streptophyta; Magnoliopsida; Poales; Poaceae.
AUGAGGGCAUCACCCUGGUGGACGCUUGCAAUGGCCUCCUUCUCUACCGCCGUUACAACAGCAGCAGGCAUGAUUACCAUUUUGUUGUGUGCAAUCCCGCCACCGGGAGGAGCCUGGAUUCAUAGAGACAGUGGGAUAGUUGAGAAAGCUACCCUGUUCAGGAGUAAAUGUGUCUUUGUCGGCGGUAUGCUGUACAUCAUGGGUAACCUGGAGGACAUCAACGGCGAGUAUGUGCUGGUGGGGGUGGACAUGGAGGGGAAAGUGUGGAAGACUAUCCGUGUGCCGUAUUGUUCAAAAUUUGGUACUAUUGGAUUGUCGCAGGGGUGCUUACACUAUGCUAUAGCUCCUCUCAAUAAUAACAAUGAAAUCCUAGUUUCUGAGAUAGCACUCUGGUGCCUCAAGGAUUGUGACAGUAAACAAUGGGUCCUGAAGCAUACUGCCAGCAUCGAUACACUUAUCAGCAUGACUUGA